GUGUCAGCAGCCGCGGUAAGACAGAGGGUGCAAACGUUGCUCGGAAUUACUGGGCGUAAAGCGCGUGUAGGCUGACCGUAAAGUCAGGUGUGAAAUCCCUGGGCUCAACCCAGGAACUGCACUUGAAACUCACGGUCUAGAGUGGUGGAGAGGGAAGUGGAAUUCCUGGUGUAGAGGUGAAAUUCGUAGAUAUCAGGAGGAACACCAGUGGCGAAGGCGGCUUCCUGGACACCAACUGACGCUGAGACGCGAAAGCGUGGGGAGCAAACAGGAUUAGAAACCCUGGUAGUCC
Molecule: ribosomal RNA, 292 nt
Filed under: uncultured bacterium
Lineage: Bacteria
Description: partial 16S ribosomal RNA
Rfam family: Bacterial small subunit ribosomal RNA
Source: RNAcentral